Panthera uncia (snow leopard) is the source of this 723-nucleotide long non-coding RNA. RefSeq lists it as uncharacterized. The record is from RefSeq and is a predicted model, not a curated record. NCBI's taxonomy places the organism in Eukaryota, Metazoa, Chordata, Mammalia, Carnivora, Felidae. The transcript is spliced from 3 exons.
AUUAUCCACUUCAAGCCUCGGGGCUUUUGUCAAGAUUUCGUUUUUCUCUCUUAAGAAAAUUUUUUUAAAUACUUGUGUUCCCAAGGGAUCCCCCUCACCCCAGAACAGGGCAGUUGUGCCCCCCUCCCUUGGGUCCAGGCCCGCCCACUCCCCCAACACUGCCCGCCCUGCCCUUCCCACUCUAGAGGUAGCCUGUCUCCAUGGUAACACUCUCCGCCUCUGGUUUCCAUGGCGAUCACCCCAACCAGGCUCUCCACACACACCCCCUUGUUUCCUGGGCAACAAGAGGGGGCAUGCAGCCAUCUGAACCAACCACUACCCAGGGAAGUCUGCCCCACCAGGAAAUCAGGACUCCCCAACUGGCCCCCUUGGCUAUGCGUCACGGGUUCUCUACGAACCUCUGUUUCUUUGUCUGCUGAGUGGACUCAGUAAUCCCUACACCAGGCCUGCCCUGAGGUGUGUGCCCUGAGCUCUGGGCACAGGCCAGCAGGAAGCACCAGCAGGCCUCUCCCCUGGGAUUCUCUCCGAUGACACUCUUCCUGAACAGAGAAACUGAGGCCUGCCAGCAGUCACAGAGCCAGCCAGAGGAGAGCUCAAGUGGCCUUCGGACCACCAUGCAACACCACUCCCCCACAUCUGCCAGGGAAGGACUUGGCUUUGCAGAGAUCACCAUCACUAAACUCCCUGGACUUGACUAAAGGCUUUAGAACCGUGACCCUAUCA